RNAcentral lists this long non-coding RNA (1501 nucleotides) under Heterocephalus glaber (naked mole-rat). RNAcentral's name for it is "lncRNA (ENSHGLG00000042341.1)". Lineage: Eukaryota; Metazoa; Chordata; Mammalia; Rodentia; Bathyergidae. The record is from RNAcentral.
CUCAGUUGGCCCUGGUCCUGGAGGUGGGGUUUUGCUCUCUCUGGGGAAGUUUAUUCAUUCCAGAUAUAUCACUUUCCUGUUCUUGCUCUGUAUGUUUCUGUGCUACUGAGGUUAGAGCCCAGGAUCUCUCCCAUGCCAGACAGGUACCACCCGGGCCACAUCCCCAGCCCUCCAUGUGUAUUUCACCAACAUCUGCCAUGCGCUUGGCAUGAGGGCCUGCGCUCAAGGGGGUGAGGGAGAGGCAGGCAAUUCAUCAGGCACUUCUUCUCCUCCAAGAUUGACUGGAGGUGGAGGAAGUUUGGGGCACAGUACAAACCCCCAGGAGAGGCACCUGCCCUAGGGAUGCGGGCAGCAAUGUCACUCAGGAGAGAAGGAUGUCUGUCUGGCACCCUAAAGAUGGAACAGUCAGUCCCAGGAGCUGUUAGGAAAUCCCCUGGUUCCUGGGCCCUGGGUGACGUGAACCUGGCCCGGAGGAGGAGGACACCGAGCUCCCUCCUGGUGAGGUUGGGGCCUGCUGGCCUUGACAGUGAGGUGGGGAGGGAAGGGCCUCUGCUAGUGAGGUGAGGGACACUGGAGUUGGGAGAGCACAGUGACCAAAUCCUGAGAGAAGGAUGCAUCUGUGACCAGGGGUCUUCUGGACAGGCAUCAGUCGUCCUUGCAUACCCGCUGUGCCAGCAGCCACUGAGUACCAGCAUUGUGCAUAACUACUGUGCCAGAUUCUUCAUUGAAUUCUCUCGAUGGUCCCGUUCUGCAGGAGAGGAAGGAAGAUUCAGGAGGAGAGCCUGGACUACGCCAGGCUCUGCCAUCAUCACAAGGGAGGAAGAGAUUCAUUCUCGCUAGAACUGAAUAGAUACCUGGAAAAUCAUGCCACACACUUCACGGUGGACCAGAACACCCCCUACCCUUUGAUUAAAUCACUGGGACGUUGAAAUGGUUCUGCAGAGCUGAGAGUGUUGCCUUAAAACAAACAAGCAAACAAAUGAAUAAACAAACAGAAACGAGUCUUGGUUUUCCACAUGAAGGGCUUUUCUUUCCAGAUAGGGUAAAUUGCAAUGGCCCCUGGGCCCUUGUCUGGAUUCCGCCUCUGUGAGCAGCCGCACCUGGGCCUUGUGAGCGAUUGGUGUCUUAUUUGCAUUAUUUAAUUAAUUCCUCUUAUUUUCCUUCAUGGUAGCAGGGGCUCUGAUCUCUUCCUCUGCUCCAAGCUCCCCUUGGCACCAGCUCCUCAGCAGGCUGUGGCUGUCAAGGCCGAAGGGUGCGACUGUCAAGACGGGGCAGGUGCUGUGCAGUGGAGCCCCUGGGAAAUGGCCUAGGUGACAAGUGAGGCAGAAGGGCGGCACCUGGUGGCAGGGCACUGUCCACACGUCUGUCCAGGCCACCCCAUCCAGGACUGUCCGACUGUCUGAAUCAGCUCCUCCUGCAGGAGGUGAAUUUUCCACUGUUUGAUGUUCCAACAUAGUCCUCUGGACCCACUGUGUGUCAAGCAAAAACACAGAGACCCUUC